Molecule: non-coding RNA, 117 nt
Filed under: Nomascus leucogenys (northern white-cheeked gibbon)
Lineage: Eukaryota; Metazoa; Chordata; Mammalia; Primates; Hylobatidae
Source: Rfam by way of RNAcentral
GCUGGGUGUGGUGGCUCACACCUGUAAUCCCAGCACUUUGGGAGGCUGAGGCGGGUGGAUCACCUGAGGUCAGGAGUUCGAGACCAGCCUGGCCAACAUGGUGAAACCCCGACUCUA